This 223-nucleotide long non-coding RNA is filed under the name Physcomitrium patens. RNAcentral's name for it is "long non-coding RNA (PPAT_LNC006584)". The record is from RNAcentral. Lineage: Eukaryota; Viridiplantae; Streptophyta; Bryopsida; Funariales; Funariaceae.
CAUAAUUGGCAUCACACUAUCUCUUCAUUUUCUUCACCAAAUCCUUUAUUUUUAUUUUCACCAUCCUCUUCAAAACAAUUAUCUUCAAAAAUAUUGAUAUCUUCAACAUGAUUUUCUAUAUUGAUUUCUCUAUCUUGUCUUUUAAAAAUCUUCACUGACUUCUCAACAAUAGGUAUUUUCAACCUCAUACCAUCUAACUCCUUUAAUGAAUAUGUGGCAUUAU